Molecule: transfer RNA, 75 nt
Filed under: Verrucomicrobiota bacterium
Lineage: Bacteria; Pseudomonadati; Verrucomicrobiota
Description: Verrucomicrobia bacterium (freshwater metagenome) tRNA-Asn
Rfam family: tRNA
About the family: Transfer RNA (tRNA) molecules are approximately 80 nucleotides in length.
Source: RNAcentral
UCCGGAGUAGCUCAGCGGUAGAGCGAUCGGCUGUUAACCGAUUGGUCGCUGGUUCGAUCCCAGCCUCCGGAGGCA